CAAGGGGUAGUUUAAUUAGAAUAUCAGCUUUGGGUGCUGAUGGUGAGGCUUGUGUCUUCUCCUUGA
RNAcentral lists this transfer RNA (66 nucleotides) under Corynorhinus rafinesquii (Rafinesque's big-eared bat). Its description in RNAcentral is "tRNA-Pro". Lineage: Eukaryota; Metazoa; Chordata; Mammalia; Chiroptera; Vespertilionidae. The record is from RNAcentral.